Molecule: long non-coding RNA, 386 nt
Organism: Monopterus albus (swamp eel)
Lineage: Eukaryota; Metazoa; Chordata; Actinopteri; Synbranchiformes; Synbranchidae
Exons: 3
Source: RefSeq, a predicted model, not a curated record
CUAUGGAACUUGUACUAAUAGGCAAAUUAGUACUCAUGGUACAAUACAAAAACAUAACACCCAGUCAUAUAGCUCUUGUAUAUAAACUGAAGUAAUGUUAAAAUAUCCUGCUUUAUUGCAGAUUUUGUACUUGGACACUGCAGCAAAUAACAGGGCAUCAACUGCAUUUUGUUUUUUCCUGAGAUCCACCCAGCUUCAUGGCUUACCAUCAAGGGUAAGAGGAGAUCAGGGGGUCGAAAACCUUGACAUUGCAUGCUUCAGGUUUUCCACACGGGGAACGGGAAGAGCAAGCUUCAUCUCUGGAAAAAGCGUCCACAAUCAGAGGGUAGAGAGACUUUGGCGUGAUGUCUGGGUUGCCAUCACAAGCAAGUACCAUGAUGUUCUUC